GUUCAGAUGCUCAGUAACAAACUCCACCAAUGAGCCAACAGUGAAGCUUUAGGUUUAUUAAAUGUUGCUAUGAAGGUAUCGCUGUUUUUCUUUGUGAAUGCAAUGAGCUCCAACUGAAACUUGAAUUAGAACUUAGAAGUAAAUCCUUCCAUCUGAAAGGAUUUAGUUGCAUUAAUAACCUCAUAACAUUCUAAUUUUUAUUCCAGUCUUGGUUGAAAUUAGAAUCUCUGUAUUGAUUCAGGUAAAAACUGAACUUCACAGCAUGUUGGAGCAAAACAACCAGAUGAAAACUGUGAUGGUGUUGGAUUGUCAGACCGUAAUGUUGCAGCUCAAAGCAGCUUUUCUAGCUCAGUUCAUUCUGACAUUCAGCUAUGAAUCAACACAGCAGAUGGUGAUCCAUGCUGUGGAAGUCUCACAUCUCCUGAUUUAGUGGAGCUGCUUUGCACUUUUUACACUGUUUAUUCACCAACACUUUAUUUAAUAAAAGUCGCAUCUAGUUUUUAUGAGGAAUGUGAUGUUUUAAUUUCUCUGUUAAUAACUGCAGUCUAAUGGAACAGCUGGAGUUGUAACAUCUGUCCUGAUAUUGAUCAUGAAGUAUUGAUCACAAUACUUAUGGUUAGCAGUCAUCCCUGAAGUUUUACAUUAAAAUCUUUACUUGUGUUGUGAACUUUGGUAAGAAGCAGAAACAUUAGCGUUGCCAUGGAUACAUGAGUGUUAAAUUCUGUCCAUGUUUCCAUUUUGGGAAAUGCAGUCCAGUUCCAGAAUGUGGAGGAAUUUAGUCUCAAUCACAGACAACAAAUAUUAUCUGAAAGUCAGGUUAUUGUUGUUUAUCAGCACAAUACAAAAAGAUUAAUGUUAGAAAUAUUCCAGUUAAGACUCUAGAAUAUCAUGAUUUAUGUAAAUUUUCCUCAAUAAUAUGAAUGUUCAGGUUAAGAUUGUACAGUGAUAUUAUGUAAGUUUAGCUGAUUAACGUUUAUGACUCUGCACUAAAAUAUUAUUUAAAUUGACAUCAUUAUUACAAUAUUUAGGGUCAGACCCUACAGUAUUGAGAUUAAGAAAUCAAAUAUUCUAUAAAAUGUAAAUACACUGAACUCAUUUGGAUAUAUUUAAGUGAGACUCUACAAUAUUAUUUGACACAAAUCUAUCUAGAUUUUAAUCAUUUUUACUCCAAACAUUUACUUUACUGAUUUAAACAUUAAAAUCACUCCUUUCUAAUCCUCUGCUGUAUGUUCAAACAUGAGGCCUGAAAUAGAGAAACACACAAGUAUCUGAUUGAAGGAACUUCUGCAGAGUCCUGGUUCCAGAACAUGAUGAUAGAAUUAUAGACAAACUUUAACAAAAGCUGCCUGAGAGUUUACAGGUUUUUAUGUUAGAUUUCUUCAGUAAUUUAAUGAGAGUUAUCAGCAAAAAUCAAGUGUUCAUUUGAUGAACUUAAUUUCCUAAAACAUCCAGAAUUGGAGCUCAUAUCUUUGGCAGUUGUAAAGUUUCUGCUCCUUCAAAGUUCACAACACAAUGAACGAAUUCCUAAAACACUCUCAAUGCUGGAGAGCAUUUGUGAUGCUGAAGCAGUGACCAGUUUUUCUGUUUCUUCUCUGGAGAUGCACAAUGAGGGACGUCUGCAGCGACUGAGAAAGAGUCUCACCACAUCCUGACAUGAGGAAAAGACUUUAUUGAAGACUACAAUGAGGAAAAUUAUCAGACAGCAGACGGCUGCAUUCAAGUCUGUAGCUGCUGAAUUCAUGGAUGAAUCAUCUGGCACUAGAGAGGAAGACCAUCAAACAUCCAUGUCAGCUGAUGGAGGUCCAAGAGUCUCACCAAACAAACAACCUACAGAGUGAAGACCUCAAAUCUGAUUGGACGGCCUCCUAUUCAGCCACAUGCUGUUAGAUUGUUCCAGAUAAGACAAGUACAAGAUUCUUCAGAGCCGUUCUACCACGAGCCUGACAGGAAGAACUCCAACAGCUACUGAAUGUUCCUGUGGUCCCCUCAAGGCUACAGGAGGAGCCCUACGAGGACGAGCCGGUCCACCUGAUGGAGGCCAGUCGCUGCGGUUCAAAGCCAACACCGACUACGUGGACUUCUACUGGACCACACGGAGGCCUUCAAACCGGACCAACAAGUUCAGCGACUCCCCGACUCGUGGGUCUGAGGAUGCCGCCGAGCCUCGGUCCAGCCGGCCUCCUGUCUGUGGGUGUUUGAUUGCUGAGAGGUUUGUGGAUGCAUGUG
Molecule: long non-coding RNA, 2226 nt
Organism: Amphiprion ocellaris (clown anemonefish)
Lineage: Eukaryota; Metazoa; Chordata; Actinopteri; Pomacentridae
Source: Ensembl